RNAcentral lists this long non-coding RNA (842 nucleotides) under Olea europaea subsp. europaea. The record is from RNAcentral. Lineage: Eukaryota; Viridiplantae; Streptophyta; Magnoliopsida; Lamiales; Oleaceae.
GAAGAAUCGAGAGAGACCGAGAGAAGAAGAAGAGGAGGAGGAGGAGGAAAAGAAUUUUCAAGCUAGGGUUCUCAAAUUCUUCAAUUUCUCAUUUGGUUUAGAAUGGUAAGUAUUUGAAUUAAAUUUUUAAGGGUUAUAGAAAACUUGCUCUAAUUCAAAGUCUAGCAAGAAUUAUGUGUUAUUGAUAUGUAUUUGAUGAUUAAAAUAAGUAUAUGUCAAAGAAAUAUAUAUUUGAAAAUUAGUGUUGAAGAAAGUGAAAACUUUGGAAAUGGGUUUGUGAUAUAAAGGCAUAUUAUUUGAAAUUCUUGGAAUUAUGUGAUGCUAAAACUUAAAUUAAGGAUUUGAGGUUGAAAUUCUCCAUUUUUUUUUUAGCAAUUUUCGAGUUUUUGCAAAACAGGUGCUAGUUUUGAAAGUCUGCCAAGAAGGUGUUAUUUCUGUCAAUGUUUUUGGUGACAGAUUUCAGUAUUCAUAAAUUGGUGCCGGUUUUCAAUAUUCUGGAAUUAUAGUGCUAAUUUUGUCAAUCAUCUAAUUUUGGUGGAUUUUUAGUAUUGGAACCAAAUUAAGUGUUAAAUAUUUGACGUUUUGGUGUUAAAAUAAUUUAUAUAAAGAAGUAUAUGUUGUUAAUGACUCUAAAUGGGAUUAUGAGAUUGAAAAUAAAAUAUGUGAAGUUUUCAUUGGUAAAUUAUUAUUUCUAAUGGUAGGAAAAUACUCAAGGAAUGCUUGUGAAGGGAUAUGAUUUAUUAUAGCGAGAGCAUGAUAUCAUACUCGGAAUUUGAAAGUGAUGAGGCGACGAGAAUAUCGAAACCAUGAUCGACUAUAACUUUGUGAGUGGAUAUAAACUU